RNAcentral lists this microRNA precursor (67 nucleotides) under Bombyx mori (domestic silkworm). RNAcentral describes it as "mir-2774 microRNA precursor family". It matches the Rfam family "mir-2774 microRNA precursor family". Lineage: Eukaryota; Metazoa; Arthropoda; Insecta; Lepidoptera; Bombycidae. The record is from Rfam by way of RNAcentral.
UGAACAUUGGGAUCGUCGGUCUACUCAGCAAUUUCACCCGCUUGGUGGAAGAUCUUUCCUUUGUCGU